RNAcentral lists this ribosomal RNA (253 nucleotides) under uncultured bacterium. Its description in RNAcentral is "partial 16S ribosomal RNA". It matches the Rfam family "Bacterial small subunit ribosomal RNA", at positions 524 to 776 of the family's 1533-position model. The record is from RNAcentral.
UACGGAGGUGGCAAGCGUUGUUCGGAAUUACUGGGCGUAAAGGGCGCGUAGGCGGCUUGACAAGUCAGAUGUGAAAGCCCCGGGCUCAACCCGGGAAUUGCAUCUGAAACUGUUUAGCUUGAGUCCUGGAGGGGAUGGUGGAAUUCCCAGUGUAGCGGUGAAAUGCGUAGAUAUUGGGAGGAACACCUGCGGCGAAGGCGGCCAUCUGGACAGUGACUGACGCUGAGGCGCGAAAGCUAGGGGAGCGAACGGG